GCAGUCGUCCAGGCGAUCGCUGGCAGAGGGACGCGAGUCCGCUGUUCAGAGGAAAGUCCGAACUCCGCAGGGCAGUGCGCCGGGUAACGCCCGGGCGGGGCAACCCGACGGAAAGUGGCACAGAAAACAUACCGCUCGCCGUAGCUCGAGCCCGCAAGGGCGAGAGCGAAGGCGAGUAAGGGUGAAAAGGUGCGGUAAGAGCGCACCGCGCGGCCGGCAACGGACGUGGCAGGCAAAACCCCGCACGGAGCAAGACCAAAUAGGGAGGCGCUCGAGGACGGCCCGUCCGAAGCCUCCGGGUAGGUUGCUCGAGGCCGUCAGCAAUGCCGGUCCCAGAGGAAUGAUCGCCCGCCCGCGUGGCUGCAAGGCUGCGCGGGUCGACAGAAUUCGGCUUACCGGACGACUGCCGCA
This 411-nucleotide RNase P RNA is filed under the name Luteitalea pratensis. RNAcentral's name for it is "Bacterial RNase P class A". It matches the Rfam family "Bacterial RNase P class A". From Rfam's summary of the family: Ribonuclease P (RNase P) is a ubiquitous endoribonuclease, found in archaea, bacteria and eukarya as well as chloroplasts and mitochondria. Its best characterised activity is the generation of mature 5'-ends of tRNAs by cleaving the 5'-leader elements of precursor-tRNAs. Cellular RNase Ps are ribonucleoproteins. The record is from Rfam by way of RNAcentral. Lineage: Bacteria; Pseudomonadati; Acidobacteriota; Vicinamibacteria; Vicinamibacterales; Vicinamibacteraceae.